This 391-nucleotide long non-coding RNA is filed under the name Gallus gallus (chicken). The record is from RNAcentral. Lineage: Eukaryota; Metazoa; Chordata; Aves; Galliformes; Phasianidae.
GGCCCAAACGGUCCAGCUUUCUCGGCCACCUCCAAAGCAAGCUUCAAGUUCUGAUCAAACAAUUCACAUCUGAUGGGCAUCUCCAGGGAGUAGAAAGGAUUCUUCAGAGCAAAGUCAGAGUAAAUCUCAUAGAUCUUGCGGAGCAGGGCAUCUAUCCCUGCCUGCCUGGGGUCAGCGAGGACCACAAAUUUGAUUCCUGUCAGCGUCUGGAAGCAGUGCAGCUUGAAGGUGUCGGUCUCCAGCAUCUCGAUGCCCGAGCUGCCCACCUCCGGGGAGAGCUGCGAGCCGAUAGCGAACAGCCUGCAAGGAAACGGCCCUGAGCCCCCGGCCCUCAACGCCCGCCCCCCGGCCCCGCUGCCCGCCGCCCCCGGCUUACGAGUGGAACAUAGAG